RNAcentral lists this ribosomal RNA (497 nucleotides) under uncultured bacterium. RNAcentral describes it as "partial 16S ribosomal RNA". It matches the Rfam family "Bacterial small subunit ribosomal RNA", at positions 28 to 507 of the family's 1533-position model. The record is from RNAcentral.
GAUGAACGCUGGCGGCGUGCCUAAUACAUGCAAGUCGAGCGAACAUACGAUGAGCUUGCUCCUCUUACGUUUGCGUCGGACGUGUUAGUAACACGUGGAUAACCUACCUAUAACACUUGGAUAACUUCGCGAAACCGUAGCUAUUUCCGGUUAAUAUAUUUAACCGCAUGGUUCAAUAGUGAAUGACGGUUUUUCUGUCUCUUAUAGAUGGAUCAGCUCUGCAUUAGCUAGUUGGUAAGGUAACGGCUUACCAAGGCAACGAUGCGUAGCCGACCUGAGAGGGUGAUCGGCCACACUGGAACUGAGACACGGUCCAGACUCCUACGGGAGGCAGCAGUAGGGAAUCUUCCGCAAUGGGCGAAAGCUUGACGGAGCAACGCCGCGUGAGUGAUGAAGGUCUUCGGAUCGUAAAACUCUGUUAUUAGGGAAGAACAAAAGUGUAAGUAACUAUGCACGGCUUGACGGUAACUAAUCAGAAAGCCACGGCUAACUACGUG